UAAUACGUAGGGUGCGAGCGUUAAUCGGAAUUACUGGGCGUAAAGCGUGCGCAGGCGGUUGGAUAAGUUUGAUGUGAAAUCCCCGGGCUCAACCUGGGAACUGCAUUGAAGACUGUCUGACUAGAGUACGGCAGAGGGGGGUGGAAUUCCACGUGUAGCAGUGAAAUAGCGUAGAGAUGUGGAGGAACACCGAUGGCGAAGGCAGCCCCCUCGGGUCGAUACUGACGCUCAUGCACGAAAGCGUGGGAGCAAACAGGAUUAGAUACCCUGGUAGUCCACGCCCUAAACGAUGUCAACUAGUUGUUGGUAGGGUUAAACCUAUUAGUAACGUAGCUAACGCGUGAAGUUGACCGCCUGGGGAGUACGGUCGCAAGAUUAAAACUCAAAGGAAUUGACGGGGACCCGCACAAGCGGUGGAUGAUGUGGAUUAAUUCGAUGCAACGCGAAAAACCUUACCUACCCUUGACAUGUCAGGAAUCCCGAAGAGAUUUGGGAGUGCCGCAAGGAACCUGAACACA
This 518-nucleotide ribosomal RNA is filed under the name uncultured Rhodocyclus sp. RNAcentral describes it as "bacterial SSU rRNA". It matches the Rfam family "Bacterial small subunit ribosomal RNA", at positions 521 to 1036 of the family's 1533-position model. The record is from RNAcentral. Lineage: Bacteria; Pseudomonadati; Pseudomonadota; Betaproteobacteria; Rhodocyclales; Rhodocyclaceae.